AAGACCACCUCCUGUAAACCAGACGCUCGCUCACCUUCGACCUCCGCGCUCGAUCCCUAGCAGGCCUUCCGCUCUCUCCUUCGUCUCCGACGCCGACGUGAGCUUUUACCCUAAGCCCCUUCGAUCACUUCAGACCGAAGCCCUAGGGAAAUAUGAGCAGACGAGCCAGCCGAACCGUCUAUGUGGGAAACCUGCCAGGAGAUAUUCGAGAGAGAGAGGUCGAGGAUCUGUUUUACAAGUAUGGACCCAUUGUUGAUAUUGAUCUGAAGAAUCCUCCAAGGCCUCCGGGUUAUGCAUUCAUUGAGUUUGAAGAUGCUCGUGAUGCUGAACAUGCUAUUCGUGGUCGUGAUGGUUACAAUUUUGAUGGUCACAGAUUACGGGUGGAAUUUCCACACGGUGGAAGAGGCUAUUCUUUUUCUGUGGACCGUUACAGCAGUUAUAGUCGUGGCGGAGUCUCGAGGCGGUCCGCAUACUGCGUGCUGGUUACUGGUUUACCUUCUUCUGCCUCAUGGCAAGACCUGAAGGACCACAUGCGUCGUGCUGGUGAUGUCUGUUUCUCCGAAGUGUUUCGUGAUGGUGGAGGCACUACAGGCAUUGUAGACUAUACAAACUAUGAUGACAUGAAAUAUGCAAUCAGGAAACUUGAUGACUCUGAAUUCCGGAAUGCAUUUUCUCGGGCAUAUAUAAGGGUCAGGGAAUAUGAUCGGAGGCGAAGCCUAUCUAGGAGCCGCAGCCGUUCCUACUCCAGAAGCAGAAGCCCUAGCUGGAGUCGCAAUUAUAGCCAAAGCUGGAGCCACAGCCGAAGCAAGACUUCGAGAGGAAGGCCAGCAUAUCGCUCGUUUUCUAGAUCUCAAUCAAGAUCUGUUUCAUCUUGCUCUGAUUCAGGAUCGAGGGGGCGCUCUCUGUCAGGAUACGGGCUUAUGCGGCGAUCUGGGGAUUGCAUAGUAGGGACUUGAUGGGAUACUGCAAGUGCCUAGUCUUUUGGUGAUGUAUGCUGUUCUAUAAAUUGAGAAAAGUCUUGGAAACCUGACUUUUUUAAAUACCACAUGUUAUAUGGCAUUUGGCUAGUACCCAUUGGAGUUGAGUGGGACUGAAUGGAUGGGUUGCAAUUUAGAGCUGGAUUACUCAGAACUAAGUGGAAAUGGGACUUGCCAAACAGUGGUAGAAAGAUUCAUCAUUUCUUCUCCAAGUUCACCUCACUUGUAGGAGUUGCGCUCAGGAGCCUGGAUAUGGAUUUUGGUGGUACGGAUAGAAAAGUAUUUCUUCACUUCUUGUAUGUUAUAGUAGAUUCUUUUAUUUUCUCCAUAGGUUUUUGCUGUCUGGUAGCUGGCAGUUAUAGUCUUCCUUGAUUACGGCUGCUGUCUUCGACAUCCAUCCAGUGUAGUUUCUCCAUUUACAAUGAUUUGAAGAAUGAAGAGAAUGGUCUAUUUUCCUGUGCUGCUAAAGUUAUUUGAGUAUCUCUUCUGUGAAUAUGGUACUGUGACGUGGAAGAGGUGUUGAGGCUUUUGGAUCAAGUUGAAAAAGCAACUUAAUGGAUAUUGUGGAUUUUGAAUUCAGUUGUUUCUGAAACUUUUGCAGAUCACAAUCAAGAUCCAGAUCACCAAUUGCUUCACCCCCGCGGGACAAACGAGUGAGCAAAAGGCCAAGGAGGCAGAGCCCGAGCUGGAGCUUAUCGCGUUCUAUAUCUCCUGCUAUGUCUGAUCGUAGCUGGUCUGUUGAUUCUCGAGACCUUUAAGGAGGAAAAGUAACUGCCUGAGCUGAAUAGGUGCAAAAAUUUACAGAAUACUCGAAAUACUCAUAAGACAUUUGGUUAUUGCUGUUAGAAAUGAUCUUAAAUGUUGUAAAUUAUUUGUGGAGUUGAUUGCAGGACAUGAUGCUGUUUGUGUGCUAAAAAUGCUUCUUUUCUGUUUACCGGUUGAUACUCAAAAUACUCAAGACAUUUGGUUACUGCUGUUAGAAAUGAUCUUAAAUGUUGUGAACUAUUUGUGGAGUUGAUUGCAGGACAUGAUGCUGUUUGUGUGCUAAAAAUGCAUAUUUUCUGUUUAUCUGUUUAUCGGUUGAUACUCAAAAUACUCAAGACAUUUGGUUAUUGCUGUUAGAAAUGAUCUUAAAUGUUGUAAACUAUUUGUAGAGUUGAUUGCAGGACAUGAUGCUGUUUGUGCGCCAAAAAUACAUCUUUUCUGUUUAC
This is a non-coding RNA of Phoenix dactylifera (date palm), 2188 nucleotides long. The record is from RefSeq and is a predicted model, not a curated record. NCBI's taxonomy places the organism in Eukaryota, Viridiplantae, Streptophyta, Magnoliopsida, Arecales, Arecaceae.